Xenopus tropicalis (tropical clawed frog) is the source of this 1416-nucleotide long non-coding RNA. RefSeq annotates it as chymotrypsin like elastase 3B. The record is from RefSeq and is a predicted model, not a curated record. The transcript is spliced from 8 exons. Lineage: Eukaryota; Metazoa; Chordata; Amphibia; Anura; Pipidae.
UCCCACUCCCGGCACAGAGAUACCCACUCACCCCCGGGGCAUUAGGGGGUAACGAUCCCACUCCCGGCAUAGAGAUACAGAAGAAGGGGAUGGAGGUUACCAUAGAGCUAAUUGGGGGGUUGCAGUAACUGACCCCCCGUGUGUUGGUUCCAGGCUAAUGACACGCAGGGGCCACAGAAUGUUCUGAGAUUAUAUCCGUGCCUCUGUAAUGGGAAAUAACUAUCUCAGUAUUUGCUCAUAAUGAAACAUAAUUUCCAGAAACACAAGAUGUUUAUUUGCCCCCACGGCUGCCAAAUGCCCCACGUAAUUGUGUUCUGGAAAGUCUGACAUUUAUCUGUGACUCAAAAGGGAAAAGUUCCGGUUGCGCCAAGUCCCGUUCCUGACGUCUUCUCCCCCCCCCCCAAGAGAUAACGAUUAUUUAAUGGCUCCCCCACCCCUCACUCUUCCCUACAACUAACGAUGCUCGGACUGGUACUGACUGCUGUGUUGGCCGCUUUGGCCCAUGGAUGUGGGGUGCCCACGUACCACCCCAAUGCGAGGGUAGUUAACGGUGAUGAUGCCAGACCCUACAGUUGGCCGUGGCAGGUCUCCCUACAGGUUCUAAACAGCGGAAGUCGAUACGGACACUAUUGUGGGGGGAGCCUUAUUGCCCCCCGCUGGGUCGUUACAGCUGCCCACUGCAUUCAUUACACUAACACGUACCGCAUUGUACUCGGGGAGCACGACCUGAGCCUGGAGGAAGGGGCGGAGCAAAAUAUUCCGAUAAACAACAGCGAUAUCUUCAACCAUCCCAAAUGGAACAGGGGGUGUGCCGAGUGCGGAUAUGAUAUUGCCCUUAUCAAGCUCUCCAGGGAAGCUCAACUCAACGAUAAGGUCCAACUGGGCUGCAUCCCACCUACAGGGGAAACUCUUUCCCACAACCAACUGUGCUUUGUCACCGGCUGGGGGCGACUUACCUCGACAGGACCUUAUCCCGAUAUCCUUCAGCAGGCCGACCUACCUGUGGUGGGUAUUUCUGUCUGCACUCAGUCCGACUGGUGGGGGGAAAUGAAUGAGAAAACCCUUGUGUGUGCUGGAGCCGCCGGCAAGGCUGUCUGUAAUGGCGACUCGGGGGGACCCCUGAACUGUCAGAGCCCUGAUGGAAGGUGGUUUGUUCAUGGGGUCACCAGCUUCGGCCCUGGGGCAUGUAAUUUGCCAAAGAGACCCAGUGUGUUCACCCGGGUGUCGGAAUAUAAUGACUGGGUGCAGGAGAUCAUUGAUAAGAACUAGGAGAGCGAGGGAAUGGACCCGAUGGCACAGAAACCUGCGUGGGACGGAACUGACCCAAUGCCCUUCCCUGAAGCCUCUGAGCCCAACCCAUUGGCUGGAAAUGUCUCUGCUCCAAUGAGAAUGUGCAAUAAAUUCAUUGUACUCUAA